AACGAACGCUGGCGGCAGGCUUAACACAUGCAAGUCGAACGGCUGUAGCAAUACAGCAGUGGCAGACGGGUGAGUAACACGUGGGAACCUUCCUAGGGGUACGGAACAACUCAGGGAAACUUGAGCUAAUACCGUAUACGUCCGUGAGGAGAAAGAUUUAUCGCCCUUAGACGGGCCCGCGUCGGAUUAGGUAGUUGGUGGGGUAACGGCCUACCAAGCCUACGAUCCGUAGCUGAUCUGAGAGGAUGAUCAGCCACACUGGGACUGAGACACGGCCCAGACUCCUACGGGAGGCAGCAGUGGGGAAUCUUGGACAAUGGGCGCAAGCCUGAUCCAGCCAUGCCGCGUGAGUGAAGAAGGCCUUAGGGUUGUAAAGCUCUUUUGCCAGGGACGAUAAUGACGGUACCUGGAGAAUAAGCCCCGGCAAACUUCGUGCCAGCCGCCGCGGUAA
Molecule: ribosomal RNA, 451 nt
Filed under: uncultured bacterium
Lineage: Bacteria
Description: partial 16S ribosomal RNA
Rfam family: Bacterial small subunit ribosomal RNA
Source: RNAcentral